Molecule: ribosomal RNA, 253 nt
Filed under: uncultured bacterium
Lineage: Bacteria
Description: partial 16S ribosomal RNA
Rfam family: Bacterial small subunit ribosomal RNA
Source: RNAcentral
UACGUAGGGCGCAAGCGUUGUCCGGAUUUAUUGGGCGUAAAGAGCUCGUAGGCGGCUUGUCGCGUCGAUUGUGAAAGCCCGGGGCUUAACUCCGGGUCUGCAGUCGAUACGGGCAGGCUAGAGUGUGGUAGGGGAGAUCGGAAUUCCUGGUGUAGCGGUGAAAUGCGCAGAUAUCAGGAGGAACACCGGUGGCGAAGGCGGAGCUCUGGGCCAUUACUGACGCUGAGGAGCGAAAGCGUGGGGAGCGAACAGG